CUUGGUCAUUUAGAGGAAGUAAAAGUCGUAACAAGGUUUCCGUAGGUGAACCUGCGGAAGGAUCAUUAAUGAACCUUUGAGGGUUGAGCUGGUUUUACAAGUGCUUGCCCUCAUAUCCUUUAUACACCUGUGCAUCUUUCAAGGGAGAUUAGUAGAUCGCUUGCGAUUGAAGGUCUUCCCUUGCUUUACAUACCCUUUAUUUAUUUAACGAAUGUACAUAGCUUAAAUGCAAUGAAAUACAACUUUUAACAACGGAUCUCUUGGCUCUCGCAUCGAUGAAGAACGCAGCGAAAUGCGAUAAGUAAUGUGAAUUGCAGAAUUCAGUGAAUCAUCGAAUCUUUGGACGCACCUUGCGCUCCUUGGUAUUCCGAGGAGCACGCCUGUUCGAGUGUCAUGAAGCUCUCAAACAAGUCUUUUCUUUGCAAAAAGAAGAGGCGGGUUUGGAUUUGAACUCUGCCGUGUAACAAACGGCUGGUUCGAAAUGUAUUAGCUGAUCCUAGCAAAGCUUGGUUCUACUCGGCGUGAUAAUUAUCUAACGUUGAGGACAUUCUUCACAGAAUGGCCAAAAUUUGUUUCAUGGAUUGCUUCUAAUCGUCUUCACAGACAAACUAUUCAUCAAUCUGACCUCGAAUCAGGCGGGACUACCCGCUGAACUUAAGCAUAUCAAUAAGCGGAGGAAAAGAAACUAACAAGGAUUCCCCUAGUAACGGCGAGUGAAGCGGGAUGAGCUCAAAUUUAAAAUCUGGUGUCCUUCGGGCAUCCGAGUUGUAGUCUAGAGAAGCAUUUUCCGUGUCGGACCAUGUACAAGUCUCCUGGAACGGAGCGUCAUAGAGGGUGAGAAUCCCGUUCUUGACAUGGACCCCCGAUGCUAUGUGAUGUGCUCUCAAAGAGUCGAGUUGUUUGGGAUUGCAGCUCAAAAUGGGAGGUAAAUUCCUUCUAAAGCUAAAUAUUGGCGAGAGACCGAUAGCGAACAAGUACCGUGAGGGAAAGAUGAAAAGCACUUUGGAAAGAGAGUUAAACAGUACGUGAAAUUGUUAAAAGGGAAACGCUUGAAGU
RNAcentral lists this ribosomal RNA (1056 nucleotides) under uncultured Basidiomycota. Its description in RNAcentral is "eukaryotic LSU rRNA". The stretch from base 622 to 1056 matches the Rfam family "Eukaryotic large subunit ribosomal RNA", at positions 1 to 429 of the family's 3401-position model. Lineage: Eukaryota; Fungi; Basidiomycota. The record is from RNAcentral.